CCCGUGAAGGGAUGUUCGAAGGAAGCCCGAGCGCAAAAGUGCGAGCCGACGGACAGAAAUCGCAUAGAAGGCCCAGUCCCCGGGCGAGUCGGCACAAGAUGGCGAAGCCCAACCGGUGCGGGGGGGCAGGGUGAAUGU
Molecule: non-coding RNA, 138 nt
Filed under: marine eukaryotic metagenome
Source: RNAcentral